CCUACGGGUGGCAGCAGUGAGGAAUAUUGGUCAAUGGGCGCGAGCCUGAACCAGCCAAGUCGCGUGAGGGAAGACGGUCCUAUGGAUUGUAAACCUCUUUUGUCGGGGAGCAAAAGACGCCACGCGUGGCGUUCCGAGAGUACCCGAAGAAAAAGCAUCGGCUAACUCCGUGCCAGCAGCCGCGGUAAUACGGAGGAUGCGAGCGUUAUCCGGAUUUAUUGGGUUUAAAGGGUGCGCAGGCGGUCUGUUAAGUCAGCGGUCAAAGCCCGGGGCUCAACCCCGGCCCGCCGUUGAAACUGGCAGUCUCGAGUUGGAGAGAAGUAUGCGGAAUGCGCGGUGUAGCGGUGAAAUGCAUAGAUAUCGCGCAGAACUCCGAUUGCGAAGGCAGCAUGCCGGCUCCACACUGACGCUGAGGCACGAAAGCGUGGGUAUCGAACAGGAUUAGAUACCCUUGUAGUC
Molecule: ribosomal RNA, 459 nt
Filed under: uncultured bacterium
Lineage: Bacteria
Description: partial 16S ribosomal RNA
Rfam family: Bacterial small subunit ribosomal RNA
Source: RNAcentral